Molecule: long non-coding RNA, 1193 nt
Filed under: Homo sapiens (human)
Lineage: Eukaryota; Metazoa; Chordata; Mammalia; Primates; Hominidae
Description: HSALNT0378491
Source: RNAcentral
UCUCUCCAUACUGGAGUAGAGAAAUACUUUGUCUAUAUCCCUUUGCUGCUGAGGCCUACUGGUGGCUGAGAUCAUUUACAUGGUGAAUACCUUCACAGAAAGCUUUCUAGAAACACUAUUCAGGGCACCAGAAUCACUCCCUCCCAACUGUUGAUGAAUCCUGAGCACAAAAAGACCUGCCAUCACAAGUCACAAGAAUUCUACUAGCAGAGUAAAUCAUAUGGGAAAAUAUAUCAUAUUUCACUCUUAAACAGGGAGUAACCAACUGAUUAGAUCCAGCUGAAGAGAAAAUUUGUAUAUUGCAAGAUAGAGAUAAAGAAAUAACACAAAAUUAUCAGCAUGUUAAGGACAUGGGAAAAUAUAAGAGAUAUGGAGAAAAGGUGAAAAGGGUGGCAUAUACAUAAUUGGAAUUCCAUAAAGAUCGAAAAGAGAGAAUGUUGAAAAGGCAAUAUUCACAAAGAUGAUGAGCUUUCUAGAACUGAUGAAGGAAUCUUGAGGAUGGAUGAAGAAUCCUCAUGCAUCUUCAAUCCUCAUGAAAUCUGCAGAUUUAUGAAGCUUAGAAAAUCCCAAAUAGGAUUAAAAACACAAAAAUGGAAACCUAUACUUAGACACAUUGCAAUAAAAUUGCAGUUCACCAAAGACUAAGGAAAAAAGAGCCAGAGAGGAAAGAUGGACUACCUAUGAAGGAUGGAAUUUAGACGGACAAAAGACUUCUCAACAGCGAUAACAGACAGCAGAAGAUUAAAAGUUCCAAAUUGCUAAGAAAAUAUAUGUCAUCCUAUAAUUAUAUACUCAACAGAACUAAAUUUCAAGGACCAGAGCAAGAAUUAGGACAUUUUCAGGUAAACUACCACUCAGAACAUUUACAUCCAAAAUCCCCACUAAAGAAACUUCUAAAGGAUAUAACUGAAGUAGGAAAAGGACACUAGGGUAAUGUCUGCGAUGCAGGAAGAUUGAAUCAGCCCCCGCGGAUGGGACUCUGAUGCACACACAACACGUCCAACACCAGGCUCAUGUGUCUUGGGAAGAACACCUGAACCAUGAAAACAUCCUCCCCUUAAGACCAGGACCGAGAAAGUCGGGUAAUGGGCAGCAUGUGCCUCUUCCUCCUUUGUCCGUGUUACUCAAUAGAUAGUCAUCAUUUUCUUUAAAAAUGGUAUGACAGAUUAAAUGAAAAAAUGAUUUUUAGAAAG